Molecule: long non-coding RNA, 1229 nt
Organism: Salvia hispanica
Lineage: Eukaryota; Viridiplantae; Streptophyta; Magnoliopsida; Lamiales; Lamiaceae
Source: RefSeq, a predicted model, not a curated record
CUCAUGAAUACAUGCAGGUUUCUAACCUUCUUUAUGUCAAUACUGCAACCAUGGUGUUAUGUAUAUUAAGAUCAGCCUCCUCUUCCGUUGCUCUUAUCUUUCUUCCUAUCUGGAAAGUUUCUCUCUGCAAAAAGAUGAGCUGCUUGUAACACAAGACAUGCUACCCUAAUCAGAGUUCAAAAUGCAUGUAUGAACAAAGAAACAUGGAGCUAUUUUGAUGAGGGCGAGCAAGUUGAUGAGCCACUUUUUCAGCAUACUUAAUGAAUACUUUCAUGAUGCUUCUGAUGUAGGUAUAAGUUGGGUUAGCAUAUUAGACAUGAAUUUUAUAGGGAUGUGUCUUUAAGAUCAAACCCUUCUGGCAGCCCUUCAAGUGUGAGAAGGAUGUGGCUGAUUUGCUUAAGGUUUUGUGGUACGGUUUCAAGAGUUGUGUUAUUACUUGGUACUGUAUAAUAAAAAGGCUACGCAUAUUAUGCCCGUGCUAUGCAUAGAGGGUUAUAAUUUUUAUAGUAAAACAUACGAUGUAGCUGUGUAAGAAUUAUUAUAAGUUGUGUACUAAUAAAUUUAUACUAAUUGUGUUUUGAAGUAUAAUUGUUCUGUAUGUAUUAGAUAUUUUAAAGUAUUUCAAUCAACAUUUUAUUUAAAAAUUUACAUUUAAUCAAUUGAAUUUUUUUAUUUAUCUAAUAAAAUGUUAUUGUACAUUUCUUAUUUUUAAACUUUAGAAAGAAGUUUUUAAAAUCUUAUGAACUAAUGAUUUUUUUUUUAUAAGUUUUGGUUCCUAUGUAUGAAUAUUUAUGCUUUGUUGAGCUCUUUGUUUAUUCCAAUUAUCUGAUUUUUACUCACACAUAUUUUCUUUAUUUGUAUAUCUUAUUCUACUUAAGAUAUACUUUUUGAUCAUUUGUGACACAUCUUCUCUUUGUCACUAAUUUUAUUAUUUUUACUCCACUUAUAUCAUAAAUUAAAAUUGUAUAAAAUCAUUUGCCGAAUUUGAAAUAUUUUAUUCAUUAGAGAAUAGUAAAAUCUUCCUUUAGAAUGAGAAAGAUAGGUAUAUUUCUGUUUUUUUAAAUGUCCAAGUUGAGAUGAAUUUUUGUUUUUAUAUAUUCAUUAUAUUUUAUAAUUAUUAUUUGAAAUUCUUAUGUCCCGUGCAUAGCACGGGGGUUAAUACUAGUUAUUCUAACAUCGAUCUCUCUCUCUCUCUAAAAAUCCAAAUAUACCCUUACCCUCUCCCUCUC